GUAGAGAGAAGUGUGUUCCAGCUGCUGGUGCUAACAAAGAUCUGAGACCAAGAAAGGAUGGGAAGAAGGAGAAGAAAAAUUUUGAUUUAUCUCAGAAACUAUACUCCGAAGUGAGAGUCCUGGUUGCAGGAUCAUCACAUUUUGGAGUUCUCAGUCCUGUGUACAAAGUCCAACUAUCUGAGGCCACCAUGCACUUAGGAUGUCCAGGCCACCUGGAGAGGCUACCAGAUAUGUGUAUGAAGAAGUUGUCUUGAAAGUGGAUCUUCCAGCCCAUGUUAUUCUAGCUACAGCUGUUUGAGUCUCCUUGUACAAGCCCCAGACAUCAUGGAAUGGAGAAGAGCUGAGCCACGGUGUCCUCUCCAAAUUCUCAAUCCACAAAACUCAUGAAAAUAAUAAAAUGAUUGUGUCUUUGUGCUACUAAAUUUAGGGAAAUUUGUUAUUCAGCAAAGAUGAUUAGAACAAGAGACCACAAUUUGACUAUCAUAUUUCAGAAAUGACACAGAUCCAGAGAGGUUAAAUAAAUCAUUUUAUUCAAAUGAA
This 540-nucleotide long non-coding RNA is filed under the name Homo sapiens (human). Its description in RNAcentral is "long intergenic non-protein coding RNA 2208". Lineage: Eukaryota; Metazoa; Chordata; Mammalia; Primates; Hominidae. The record is from RNAcentral.